This 406-nucleotide ribosomal RNA is filed under the name uncultured bacterium. Its description in RNAcentral is "partial 16S ribosomal RNA". It matches the Rfam family "Bacterial small subunit ribosomal RNA", at positions 30 to 526 of the family's 1533-position model. The record is from RNAcentral.
AUUGAACGCUGGCGGCAGGCCUAACACAUGCAAGUCGAACGAGUGGCGGACGGUUGAGUAAUUUCUGGGAAACUGCCCGAUGGAGGGGGAUAACUACUGGAAACGGUAGCUAAUACCGCAUACCAUCGGAUGUGCCCAGAUUGGAUUCGCUAGUAGGUGGGGUAACGGCUCACCUAAGCGACGAUCCCUAGCUGGUCUGAGAGGAUGCCCGGCCACACUGGAACUGAGCCACGGUCCAGACUCCUACGGGAGGCAGCAGUGGGGAAUAUGGCAAAAUGGGCGCAAGCCUGAUGCAGCCAUGCCGCGUGUAUGAAGAAAGCCUUCGGGUUGUAAAGUACUUUCAGCGAGGAGGCGUUACUCGCAGAAGAAGCACCGGCUAACUCCGUGCCAGCAGCCGCGGUAAUAC